AGCGCAGGUGGGAAGACAAGUUGGAAGUGAAAACCAUGGGCUCAACCCAUGAAUUGCUUUCAAAACUGUUUUUCUUGAGUAGUGCAGAGGUAGAUGGAAUUCCCGGUGUAGCGGUGGAAUGCGUAGAUAUCGGGAGGAACACCAGUGGCGAAGGCGGUCUACUGGGCACCAACUGACGCUGAGGCUCGAAAGUGUGGGUAGCAAACA
RNAcentral lists this ribosomal RNA (207 nucleotides) under uncultured bacterium. RNAcentral's name for it is "partial 16S ribosomal RNA". It matches the Rfam family "Bacterial small subunit ribosomal RNA", at positions 568 to 774 of the family's 1533-position model. The record is from RNAcentral.